CCCUUAGAUGUCCUGGGCUGCACGCGCGCUACACUGACACGUUCAACGAGUUUUGCCUGCUCCGAUGGGACUGGGUAAUCUUAUGAAAGCGUGUCGUGAUGGGGAUAGAUUAUUGCAAUUAUUAAUCUUCAACGAGGAAUUCCUAGUAAGCGCAAGUCAGCAGCUUGCGUUGAUUACGUCCCUGCCCUUUGUACACACCGCCCGUCGCUACUACCGAUUGAAUGGUUUAGUGAGAUCUUCGGAUUGGCGCCACUGCGGCUCAGCAAUGGGCUCGGUGGAUGCCGAAAAGUUGAUCAAACUUGAUCAUUUAGAGGAAGUAAAAGUCGUAACA
Molecule: ribosomal RNA, 331 nt
Filed under: uncultured eukaryote
Lineage: Eukaryota
Description: partial 18S ribosomal RNA
Rfam family: Eukaryotic small subunit ribosomal RNA
Source: RNAcentral